This 1272-nucleotide long non-coding RNA is filed under the name Anas platyrhynchos platyrhynchos (common mallard). Its description in RNAcentral is "lncRNA (ENSAPLG00000027925.1)". The record is from RNAcentral. Lineage: Eukaryota; Metazoa; Chordata; Aves; Anseriformes; Anatidae.
CGGCGCCCGCGGGACGUGGCCGUGGCCGCGCUCGCUGUCUUGUGGCUCCCGGUCCCGUGCUCCGUGCCGUGGUCGCGCCUUGGGGACGGGUGGUGCGGUGACGGGGUGAUGCGGUGACACCGUGACACGGUGACACGGUGACGUGGUGACAAGGUGAUGCAGUGGCGUGGCGGUGCGGUGGCGUGGUGACACGGUGACGCGGUGGCCAGCACGGCCUGGCAGGAGGUCUUGCAGGAGAGGGGCUGGGGACAGGGGGACACACGGGCAGGGCUGGGGACCUGUGCCGGCGGUGGCGCCCCGUUACCCAUGGGGACACGGCGUGGGGACGCUCCCGACGCGCUCCCCGUGGUGUGACACCGGUCACCCGUCUUUGUGCAAUGCCUUCCUCACUCCCCACAGCCUGCGUCCCCGCCUGUCCCCGCGUGUCCCCGCGUGUCCCCGUGUGUCCUUGUGUGUCCCGGUGCCUGGGGGGGGGGGGGGGGGGGGCCGUGCCGGGGCGUGCGUCCGUGUGUCCGAGCUAUGCAUUCCUGUGGACAGGUACCAUGUGGACUUGCGACGAGAGGGUUCGAUUGUGUUGCACAUUUUGUAGGAAAUGCACUUUUAAGAGGGAAUCUUAAAAAAAAAAAAAAAAGAAAGAAAAUGAAAGAAAGAAAACAAAAAAAAAAAAAAAAAAAAGGAAAAAAAAACAAAAAAAAAGGAGAAAAAAAAAAAAAACACAAAACACACACAAAAGACGAUGAGAAGAAAAGCCACAAACAACAAAAAAGGAAAAAAAAAAAAGAGAGAGCGCGCUUGGCGGAGAGGGAAACUUUUUUUUUUUUUAAGGAUAUGAAAAAAGAAACACAAAAAAAAAAAAAAAAGACAAAUAAACUGCAUGGUGCUUUAACAGGAUCUCGUGACCUGGCUCAACCCAUCCGUGGAUGGCUGAUGCUGUGCAUGGCAGACUGUAUUAACCGGCUCUACCUUCCCCCUUCAGAAAAGAGAAAAAAACACAAAAAAAAACCAAAAAAAAAAAUCUGUAAAAAAAAAAAAAAAAAAAGCCGUAAAAAAAAAAAAAAAAAAUCCAUGUUUUCCUAAUUUGCACGAAAUUUUAUACCACAUGAUGUGCCUUGCCUUCGAAGACUAAGUAUUACCAGACCCGGGCUCACCGCACAGGAGGAGCUGCAUGCCUGGGGCUCCCCGCCGCUGGGGGGGCCGGGGGGGCCCGGCCGCUCGCCGCCCGCUCGCCGUCUGCAUGUCGUGUUCUUGCGUUGGGCCGCGGGGCCGGAAAGU